CUUCUCUUCCCCCCCAUUUCUCUGUGCCUGUCUAUCUCUGUCUCUCUCUGUCUCUGUCUCUCUCUCUCUCUCUGUCUCUCUCUGUCUCUCUCUCUCUCUCUUACUCUGUCUCUCUCUCUCUCUUCUCUCUCUCUCUCUCUCCUUUUUCUCUCUUUCCCUUUCCUUUCCCCUUUCCCUCUCCCUCUCUUCCUCUUCCCUUCCCCCCUUUCUCUCCCACUCCCUUCUGCUCUCUUCUCUUUCUCUCUCCUUUUUCUCUCUUUCCCUUUCCUUUUCCCUUUCCCUCUCCCUCUCUUCCUCUUCCCUUCCCCCUUUCUCUCCCACUCCCUUCUGCUCUCUUCUCUCUCUCUACUUUUUCUCUCUCUCCUCUCCCUUUCCCUUUCCCUUUCCCUCUCCUCCUCUUCUCUUCCCCCCCGUUUCUCUGUGCCUGCCUAUCUCUGUCUCUCUCUCUCUCUGUGUCUCUGUCUCUGUCUCUCUCUGUCUCUCUUUCUCUCUCUUACUCUGUCUCUCUCUGUCUCUCUUCUCUCUCUCUCUCCCCUGAGCUCCCACAUCACCAACUGUUUGCCGGACACCUUCUCCCAGAUACCCCAUAGGUAUCUCAAACUCAAUGUAUCCAGAACAGAACUCAUUUCUUCUCCCUCCAAACCCACCCCUCUUCCAAAAUUCCCUAUAUCUGUCAAAGCCACCCCCAUCCUUCUAGUCAUUCAAGUUCCCAAUCUAGAAGUCACCCUCAACUCUUCACUCUCUCUCAUUCCCUUUAAUGACUCCAUUUCUAAGACCUAUCCAUUGUACUUCCAUGACACAUCUCCUAUCUGCCCCCUACUCUCCAGUUAUAGAGCCACUACCCUAGCUCAGACCCUCCCCAUCUCUCUUAGACUAUGGAACUAUUCUCCUAAUUGAUCUCCCAGCCUCCAGUCUCUCCCCUCUCCAGCCCAUCCUUCUCAUUGCUGCCAAACUGAUAUUUUAUUAGCACAGAUCUGAUCAUGCCAUUCACCUACUCAAGAAUCUUC
This 1007-nucleotide long non-coding RNA is filed under the name Phascolarctos cinereus (koala). Its description in RNAcentral is "lncRNA (ENSPCIG00000033126.1)". The record is from RNAcentral. Lineage: Eukaryota; Metazoa; Chordata; Mammalia; Diprotodontia; Phascolarctidae.